This 468-nucleotide ribosomal RNA is filed under the name uncultured bacterium. Its description in RNAcentral is "partial 16S ribosomal RNA". It matches the Rfam family "Bacterial small subunit ribosomal RNA", at positions 28 to 507 of the family's 1533-position model. The record is from RNAcentral.
GACGAACGCUGGCGGCGUGCUUAACACAUGCAAGUCGAACGGAAAGGCCCUGCUUUUGUGGGGUGCUCGAGUGGCGAACGGGUGAGUAACACGUGAGUAACCUGCCCUUGACUUUGGGAUAACUUCAGGAAACUGGGGCUAAUACCGGAUAGGAGCUCAUGCUGCAUGGUGGGGGUUGGAAAGUUUCGGCGGUUGGGGAUGGACUCGCGGCUUAUCAGCUUGUUGGUGGGGUAGUGGCUUACCAAGGCUUUGACGGGUAGCCGGCCUGAGAGGGUGACCGGCCACAUUGGGACUGAGAUACGGACCAGACUCCUACGGGAGGCAGCAGUGGGGAAUAUUGCACAAUGGGCGGAAGCCUGAUGCAGCAACGCCGCGUUCGGGAUGACGGCCUUCGGGUUGUAAACCGCUUUCGCCUGUGACGAAGCGUGAGUGACGGUAAUGGGUAAAGAAGCACCGGCUAACUACGUG